Molecule: long non-coding RNA, 1377 nt
Filed under: Sus scrofa (pig)
Lineage: Eukaryota; Metazoa; Chordata; Mammalia; Artiodactyla; Suidae
Description: lncRNA (ENSSSCG00070013436.1)
Rfam family: Small nucleolar RNA SNORD116 (bases 1152-1243)
Source: RNAcentral
GGCCCUGCGGGGUCUUGCCCAGGCUCCAGGGCCCUUGGGGUCCCGGAGGGUCCAGCAGAAGGGUCUGUGUUUUGCCCGGGGUCCUGAGAGCGUGCUGGGGAUAGCGGGGGUGGAGUGCAGGUGUGCCCAUGGGCGCCCCGGGUCCAGGGCCCGCGGAGCCGCUCUCGGGGCGGAGACCUUGCCCCCAGGGGCACGUCAGCGGUCCUGAGCUGAGGCUCCUGCAGAGCACUCUGGGCCGCGUGUGUCUCUCCCUGCGUGGGCAGGCAGUGUCGGUGGCCGGAGCGAGGGUGUUUUCCCAUCGGGUGAGGGGGAGAGCCCCAGGGUGGGCCUUGGGGUGGAAUCGGACUCGGGGUUGGGGUGGACUCUUAAGCUGGGAGGGGUGCGGGUGGGCAGGGCCUUAGGGAGCCUGAGGGAGGUGCGGUUCCUGGGGGAAGGGUGUGGCGCCCCAGCGAAGGGGCAGUGCUGGCCACUCCGUGUGGCGCUUUGGCUGCUGGCACCCAGUGAGAGGGGGGAGGCCAGGGACAGGUGGCAGCCAGGCUGCCCACAGGCCCUGGGCGGUGGGGGGCCCGGCCCCUGUGCCUUGGGCAGCUGGGCCCCUUGCUGAGGCGUGCUUGCGCGUGUCCGUUGUCGCCCUCACCCAGCUGCUGCGGCGGAGAGACGGAGGCCAGCGCGGGGAGCGGAAGCCGGAGCCUGUCGGGAGCGACCCCGGGAAGGCCAGUCCCUCCUGCCGGAGGGAGGCGUGUUGGCGUGCGGCCGGUGGCGGGAUCGAUGGCCACCUGGUAGGCGAUGGAGAGCAGCAUGGCGGACCCCUGAUCUUGUGGCGUGCCACCGCGCGAGGCCGAGGAGCUCCCGCAGCCCAGUGCGCGUGGCGUCCUUGUCGCGGCUCUGUGGAGACUGGCGAUGGUGAGCGGCCCUGUCCUCAGUGGUGGAGAACUCGCCCUUGGGGCGCUCGUCUGUCCGGAGCCCCGGCCAGCCCCGCUUCUCGCGGGCUUUGGCCCCGGCAGGCCAGCUCCGGGGCGUGAGGGGGAGCGUCCCGUCCUGCCCAGUGGCUCGUCUGUCUGGGCACGCCCCCAAACGCUGCCGUGAUGGAGCGGUGGGAUGUCCAGGUGCGGAGGCCGUGAAUUUGCCUUGCGGCGGCGGAGCCCGUGCUCGGAUCGAUGAUGACUCCCUCUAAAGCAUUCCUUGGAAAUCUGAACAAAAUGAGUGAGAACUCACUACCGUCUCCUCAUCGAAACUGAGGUCCGGCACGUGGCGGCCACCGGGGCUCGGGGGUAGAUGGGCCCUUGGCCUUGGGCCUCUGGGUGUCAGCAGCCACUCGGGUGAGGUCUGGGGAAGGCGGCCGCCUGCCGGGCCCAGGAAGCAUGGGGCCCGUCGCCC